Molecule: ribosomal RNA, 449 nt
Filed under: uncultured bacterium
Lineage: Bacteria
Description: bacterial SSU rRNA
Rfam family: Bacterial small subunit ribosomal RNA
Source: RNAcentral
GUCCAGACUCCUACGGGAGGCAGCAGUGGGGAAUAUUGCACAAUGGGGGAAACCCUGAUGCAGCGACGCCGCGUGAGUGAAGAAGUAUUUCGGUAUGUAAAGCUCUAUCAGCAGGGAAGAAAAUGACGGUACCUGAUUAAGAAGCCCCGGCUAACUACGUGCCAGCAGCCGCGGUAAUACGUAGGGGGCAAGCGUUAUCCGGAUUUACUGGGUGUAAAGGGAGCGUAGACGGCAUGGCAAGUCUGAAGUGAAAGCCCGGGGCUCAACCGCGGGACUGCUUUGGAAACUGUUAAGCUGGAGUGCAGGAGAGGUGAGUGGAAUUCCUAGUGUAGCGGUGAAAUGCGUAGAUAUUAGGAGGAACACCAGUGGCGAAGGCGGCUUACUGGACUGUAACUGACGUUGAGGCUCGAAAGCGUGGGGAGCAAACAGGAUUAGAUACCCGUGUACUG